This 452-nucleotide ribosomal RNA is filed under the name uncultured bacterium. RNAcentral describes it as "bacterial SSU rRNA". It matches the Rfam family "Bacterial small subunit ribosomal RNA", at positions 365 to 807 of the family's 1533-position model. The record is from RNAcentral.
UUCGCAAUGCCCGAAAGGGUGACGAAGCGACGCCGCGUGUGGGAAGAAGGCCUUCGGGUUGUAAACCACUGUCGGGAGUUAAGAAAUGCAAGAAUGUUAAUAGCGUCUUUGCUUGACUAAGGCUCCGGAGGAAGCCACGGCUAACUCUGUGCCAGCAGCCGCGGUAAUACAGAGGCGGCAAGCGUUGUUCGGAAUUAUUGGGCGUAAAGAGCACGUAGGCGGCUAUAUAAGUCGGUUGUGAAAGCCUUCCGCUCAACGGGAGAACAGCAUCCGAUACUGUAUGGCUUGAGUGUGGGAGGGGAGAGCGGAACUUCUGGUGGAGCGGUGAAAUGCGUAGAUAUCAGAAGGAACGCCGGCGGCGAAAGCGGCUCUCUGGCCCAUAACUGACGCUGAGUGUGCGGAAGCUAGGGGAGCAAACGGGAUUAGAUACCCCGGUAGUCCUAGCCGUAAAC